UCCUACGGGAGGCAGCAGUGGGGAAUUUUGGACAAUGGGCGCAAGCCUGAUCCAGCCAUGCCGCGUGCAGGAUGAAGGCCUUCGGGUUGUAAACUGCUUUUGUACGGAACGAAAAGGUGCCUUCUAAUAAAGGGCGCUCAUGACGGUACCGUAAGAAUAAGCACCGGCUAACUACGUGCCAGCAGCCGCGGUAAUACGUA
Molecule: ribosomal RNA, 200 nt
Filed under: uncultured bacterium
Lineage: Bacteria
Description: partial 16S ribosomal RNA
Rfam family: Bacterial small subunit ribosomal RNA
Source: RNAcentral